Melospiza melodia melodia is the source of this 1057-nucleotide long non-coding RNA. RefSeq lists it as uncharacterized. The transcript has 3 exons. NCBI's taxonomy places the organism in Eukaryota, Metazoa, Chordata, Aves, Passeriformes, Passerellidae. The record is from RefSeq and is a predicted model, not a curated record.
UUCUGCACUGGGGCCUGGGAGCAGCCUGGAAGCUGCUGCCAUCAUUUUCCAGCCCUUUGUGCUAUUCUGCAUCCUAACCAUGCCAAUCUGCUUCUUGAUGAAAAGAUGUGAGCAAGAAAAUGAGGAAUUUCUCCCUUUUCAUGACUUUUCCCAAGUCCCUAUUUUACAGCUUGCCAACUCCCUUGCUGUAUAUCUGCAUGCAGGUUCCUCUCUUAUAUUUCACUUUACAUGGUUAAUUGUGUUUGUAUUCUCCACAGGGUUCCUGGCAUUUACAGCACACUGUGAGGUCACUGAUUUGCCACUGUGUUUUCAGAAACCUGCCUCACCAUCCCCAUGUAAAACUGAAAACGAGAGGAAAGUGAGAAAGCAGCAGUUUGCAGGAACCUCAGGAUGAAAGGAUUUGGAGUUGCUGCAUGAAAUGACAUGAAAUCCACCAAGUUCCUGUUCACAUAAAAAAAACCAAACCACGGACAGAGGGCACUUCAUCUUUCUGGCAGUGUCAGCAGGUUGGGCAAGGUUUAAGCAGGUAAGAGAGUGGAACAGACUCUGUGGCUGCCCCUGCUAGAACUGACUUGAACAGAAUUAUGAUUCUUUCUGAACAAACUGCAGCCCUGUCCUGUCCCCUCCAUGCCCACCCUCUCCAUCAGGCCUGCAGCUCAUUAGUGGGGCAGCACAGGAUCCCUGCAUUGUCAACUGCAUUUGGCACCUUGGAACCAGAAAAUGCCUUCAUUCAGCUCUGUCAGCCCAGUGCCCAGCUAGCAAGUCAGUCAAGAAAAGGAGUGCAAUGGGUGCUUUUGGAAACAGUGUGGGGUGAGAGAAGGCAGGAAGUUAAUGAGUACUGAACACUGAAUGCAACUGAAGAAGGAAGUUGUUCACAGGUCUACAACUGAUAUCUGGGACACAUUUUAGAAUCUUCAACAAAAACUGCUAGGAGUUUGGUAAAUCCUGACAUUUAAAUAAAUUCUUGUAUUUUAACUAAGACCUUCCUCCCAUGCUCUGAGUCCUCGGCACACCUCAGGCACUGCAGCACCUUCCUGUCAGGGCUCUCUGGUGCUUG